This 309-nucleotide ribosomal RNA is filed under the name marine sediment bacterium BB0608_2216_6.1_3S0. Its description in RNAcentral is "bacterial SSU rRNA". It matches the Rfam family "Bacterial small subunit ribosomal RNA", at positions 75 to 385 of the family's 1533-position model. The record is from RNAcentral.
CUUGCUUUUUUGCUGACGACCGGCGAACGGGUGCGUAACGCGUAUAGAAUCUGCCUUGUACAGGAGGAUAGCCUUUAGAAAUGAAGAUUAAUACUCCAUAAUGUUGAGAGAUGGCAUCAUCUUUUAAUUAAAGAUUUAUCGGUACAAGAUGACUAUGCGUCCUAUUAGCUAGAUGGUAAGGUAACGGCUUACCAUGGCAACGAUAGGUAGGGGGUCUGAGAGGAUUAUCCCCCACACUGGUACUGAGACACGGACCAGACUCCUACGGGAGGCAGCAGUGAGGAAUAUUGGUCAAUGGAGGCAACUCUG